Molecule: ribosomal RNA, 260 nt
Filed under: uncultured archaeon
Lineage: Archaea
Description: partial 16S ribosomal RNA
Rfam family: Archaeal small subunit ribosomal RNA
Source: RNAcentral
CAGCCGUAAACUAUGCUCGCUAGGUGUCAGGCAUGGCGCGACCGUGUCUGGUGCCGCAGGGAAGCCGUGAAGCGAGCCACCUGGGAAGUACGGCCGCAAGGCUGAAACUUAAGGAUUGGCGGGGGAGCACAACAACGGGUGGAGCCUGCGGUUUAAUUGGACUCAACGCCGGACAACUCACCGGGGGACGACAGCAAUAUGUAGGCCAGGCUGAAGACCUUGCCUGAAUCGCUGAGAGGUGGUGCAUGGCGUAGACGUGU